GAACGAACGCUGGCGGCCUGCCUAACACAUGCAAGUCGAACGAGACCUUCGGGUCUAGUGGCGCACGGGUGCGUAACGCGUGGGAACCUGCCCUUAGGUUCGGAAUAACUCCCCGAAAGGGGUGCUAAUACCGGAUAAUGUCUUCGGACCAAAGAUUUAUCGCCUUUGGAUGGGCCCGCGUUGGAUUAGCUAGUUGGUAGGGUAAAAGCCUACCAAGGCGACGAUCCAUAGCUGGUCUGAGAGGAUGAUCAGCCACACUGGGACUGAGACACGGCCCAGACUCCUACGGGAGGCAGCAGUGGGGAAUAUUGGACAAUGGGCGAAAGCCUGAUCCAGCAAUGCCGCGUGAGUGAUGAAGGCCUUAGGGUUGUAAAGCUCUUUUACCCGGGAUGAUAAUGACAGUACCGGGAGAAUAAGCUCCGGCUAACUCCGUG
RNAcentral lists this ribosomal RNA (434 nucleotides) under uncultured bacterium. RNAcentral describes it as "partial 16S ribosomal RNA". It matches the Rfam family "Bacterial small subunit ribosomal RNA", at positions 27 to 507 of the family's 1533-position model. The record is from RNAcentral.